UCUAAUAUGGCAGAUUAGUGCAAUGAAUUUAAGCUUCAUAUAUAAAGAUUUAUAAAUCUUUUAUUAGAA
Molecule: transfer RNA, 69 nt
Filed under: Eurydema qinlingensis
Lineage: Eukaryota; Metazoa; Arthropoda; Insecta; Hemiptera; Pentatomidae
Description: tRNA-Leu
Source: RNAcentral